Molecule: non-coding RNA, 102 nt
Filed under: Desulforamulus reducens
Lineage: Bacteria; Bacillati; Bacillota; Clostridia; Eubacteriales; Peptococcaceae
Also listed under: 1 other name
Description: Desulfotomaculum reducens Guanine sequence
Rfam family: Purine riboswitch aptamer
About the family: Riboswitches are metabolite binding domains within certain messenger RNAs that serve as precision sensors for their corresponding targets.
Source: RNAcentral
CUAUAAAUAAAAAAAUUAACUCGUAUAUUUUCAAGAAUACGGCUUGAAAGUUUCUACCAGGCUACCUUAAAUAGCUUGACUACGAGUUUAAUGUCUAUAGUA